Molecule: long non-coding RNA, 1574 nt
Organism: Macaca fascicularis (crab-eating macaque)
Lineage: Eukaryota; Metazoa; Chordata; Mammalia; Primates; Cercopithecidae
Source: Ensembl
CUGUGCCUGCGGCUUCCAUAGCAGGGAAAACAUAGGUUAGAUCACCACUCCCCCGACCGUCACCAGGGCACUCUCGGAAUGUCCUGCCUACAAGGACUUGGCUCACUAGCCACAAGGAAGUACAUACCAAGAUCUGUUGGCCACUUUCCACCCUAAGGAUGCCUCAUUCUUAUCUCUGCUGUGUCUCCACUAGCACAGCAGAAUGUGAUGGACAGAAUAAGAAGCCUGUUGCCUUUUAUCAGCCAGUGCAGGCAGAAGACUCAGAAGGGCUGGGGAGCACUUGUAAUGCAGCAGUCCAAAAUCAGGCCCUACAAAAGCCUGGUGGUGCAAAGAACACAGAGAGUGAGACCAGACAGGUCUGAUUUAAGAUCCAGUCUCCACCAUUUUGAUGAAUUGGGCAAGUUACUUAAUCUCACUGUGCAUCAAUUUUCUCAUCUAGGAAAUAGGGAUAAUGACUCCUACUUCAUGGAAUUGUUCUGGGGAGUAUAUAUGUUGCAUAAAAGCACUAGCAUGGGUGCUGGGUACAGACUAGGUACCCGAAACUCUACAGGGCUUGUCCAAUAAAUUGGGGCUUUUGUGAUUAUUUAAAAUGGACUGCAAUACUGAUAAGUUUCUCUGAUGCCAGAGUCAGAAAAAAAGGUCAAAUUCAGCGCCCCAAGUAUCUUUAGCUACAACUGGCCUAAGCAAGCUGGAAAACAAUUCCCAAGUUAUCCGGGCUGCUCUUGCUCCUGCCAGCUAAUCCCUAACUGCAUUUGUAUUCCUUUGCAGCCGGCUGGCCUGUGCAUAUGGAAUACAUUUUCUUUGGGUGUCUCACCAUUAGCGUUUUCAUUUCUGCUUAGCGUCAGGGGCUUUGCACAUCGCUGGCCUUCCAGAGUACUAAGCCCGUCUUUGUGUAGGCUUGCUUUGUUCUCUCAUUUCCUGAUCAGUCAGGAAGCAUUUCUGGGCAAGAGCUUUUGGAGGGGGGGUUUUGCCUGGCAGCUUCAUACACUAUGAGUUUUGGAGAAGGAUGAAUCAAGUACCACCUCAUACACAGGUCUCCUCUCUCCCUCCCUGUAUACAUGGCUACCUGUGGAUUAGAUACAGCCUUCUUUCCUCCCCAGGUUUUCUAAUGCUCUCACAUGUAGAUCUGCUAAGCUCUGCUAAUAAGCACAAAGAAAUCAGCUGCCACGUUCAAAGCUUAUGCUAUCAGUCAGCUGAGCAUCACGCUGAAAAGGCAACCUUCCACUUAAAAGAAUAUAAUAAUUCACAGUGCUGGCAAAGGUGCAGUGAGAUGGGCACUGUCAUAGCCACUGAUUAAUGAGAGUGUAAAUUGAUAUAACACUUCAGGUGGGGGGAGGUGAGGGGAGCAACUAACCAGCAUAUAACAAGAGCCUUUGAAACAGUGAUUCCACUUCUAGGAAAGUGUCUCCUAAGGAAACAAUCAGAAAUGUGGUCAAAGAUUAUAACAGCCGGGCGCGGUGGCUCACGCCUGUAAUCCCAGCACUUUGGGAGGCCGAGGCGGGCGGAUCACAAGGUCAGGAGAUCGAGACCACGGUGAAACCCCGUCUCUACUAAAAAUACAAAAAAAAAAAAAA